RNAcentral lists this ribosomal RNA (361 nucleotides) under uncultured bacterium. RNAcentral describes it as "bacterial SSU rRNA". It matches the Rfam family "Bacterial small subunit ribosomal RNA", at positions 8 to 350 of the family's 1533-position model. The record is from RNAcentral.
AGAGUUUGAUCCUGGCUCAGGAUGAACGCUGGCGGCGUGCCUAACACAUGCAAGUCGAGCGAAGCGAUCGAGAUGAAGUUUUCGGAUGGAUUCCUGAUCGACUGAGCGGCGGACGGGUGAGUAACGCGUGGGUAACCUGCCUCAUACAGGGGGAUAACAGUUAGAAAUGACUGCUAAUACCGCAUAAGCGCACAGUACCACAUGGUACGGUGUGAAAAACUCCGGUGGUAUGAGAUGGACCCGCGUCUGAUUAGCUAGUUGGUGGGGUAACGGCCCACCAAGGCGACGAUCAGUAGCCGACCUGAGAGGGUGAUCGGCCACAUUGGGACUGGAGACACGGCCCAAACUCCUACGGGAGGCA